AUAAUUUCAGGGGUUUAUCUGGGUAUUUUGGGAAAAAGGACCCUGGCCAGUUUAGGGAAUUUUUUAACGCGGUUUUCAAUGAAAUUGGGAAAAACAACCAAUAUACCAGAUGUUAGUUUUAGUGUGAUUAGUUCAUAAAAUUAUUUUUUGUAGGUGAAAAUAAAGUAAGGACUACACCUUCUUUGUUUUUUAAAUAUAACAACAUGGCAUUUCAGUUUAUUUGAGUAUCAAAAUAAUGAGUUC
Molecule: long non-coding RNA, 243 nt
Filed under: Mytilus galloprovincialis (Mediterranean mussel)
Lineage: Eukaryota; Metazoa; Mollusca; Bivalvia; Mytilida; Mytilidae
Source: RNAcentral